Molecule: ribosomal RNA, 522 nt
Filed under: Priestia megaterium
Lineage: Bacteria; Bacillati; Bacillota; Bacilli; Caryophanales; Bacillaceae
Description: bacterial SSU rRNA
Rfam family: Bacterial small subunit ribosomal RNA
Source: RNAcentral
GCGUAAGCGCGCGCAGGCGGUUUCUUAAGUCUGAUGUGAAAGCCCACGGCUCUACCGUGGAGGGUCAUUGGAAACUGGGGAACUUGAGUGCAAAAAAGAAAAGCGGAAUUCCACGUGUAGCGGUGAAAUGCGUAAAGAUGUGGAGGAACACCAGUGGCGAAGGCGGCUUUUUGGUCUGUAACUGACGCUGAGGCGCGAAAGCGUGGGGAGCAAACAGGAUUAGAUACCCUGGUAGUCCACGCCGUAAACGAUGAGGGCUAGGUGUUAGAGGGUUUCCGCCCUUUAGUGCUGCAGCUAACGCAUUAAGCACUCCGCCUGGGGAGUACGGUCGCAAGACUGAAACUCAAAGGAAUUGACGGGGGCCCGCACAAGCGGUGGAGCAUGUGGUUUAAUUCUAUUCAACGCGAAGAACCUUACCAGGUCUUGACGGGGGCUGACAACUCUAGAGAUAGAGCGUUCCCCUUCGGGUGACAGAGUGACAGGUGGUGCAUGGUUGUCGUCAGCUCGUGUCGUGAGAUGUUG